Homo sapiens (human) is the source of this 4030-nucleotide long non-coding RNA. Ensembl annotates it as MIR4500 host gene. NCBI's taxonomy places the organism in Eukaryota, Metazoa, Chordata, Mammalia, Primates, Hominidae. The record is from Ensembl.
GCGGGCAGCAACCGCGUCGUUCUAUGCCUGUGGCUUGUCCUGGCAGCCCGGUGGCUCUAAAAAAAACUCCGAGAAAGUUGCGUCUUCCUCCCGGGCGCCGAGGAGGUGGCAACGCGGUAAGCAACACCGGGUCUCUGAGACAGCUGCUCCGGAGCGGGUGCAGGGCCCAGUCCAGUGCACUUGUUUAUUGUCGCGCCUCUGGUGCGAGCCAAGCUGCAGCAGACAUGAUGGGCCCGGGGCGAAGCGGGCGCUCGGUGGCCGAUAGAUGGCAGCCGAGGGCGAAGGCGUCCCUGGGCUAGGGCGGCGCAACCGGGGCCCCCUUGGAUGUCACAUUCGUAGGAAGAGAGAGAAGUCUUGGACCAUGUGUGUAAUUCGAGCGUGGGACUGUGCAAUUCUCGGAUUGGGAAAGGGAGGAGUGGAAAUAACCCCGGCAGUGCCAGGCUUGCUGGUGGUCAGGAACAGAUGAUUCCAGCCCUGUGCUGAUCGCCUGCCUUCCUCCUGCCAUUCAGAAUGCUGCUGUCUCGUGUACUUACUGUUAAGGAUCCUGGAAAAGGGAGUGGUUCCUCCUAGCUGCAAACAAGGGCGCUACUUUUCUUUUCUCUUUAAUAGAAUUACGUUUUAUAGGUGUGUCUAGGCAACACAAGGGAAUGUGAAAGACUUUCAGAGGGAAUGUUUGUGAAUACAUCUGGUGUGUACUAAAAAGCUGGAAAACCCCUAAGUAAAUGCAAUAUCGAUAGAAAGCGAGUUUCUUGAAGAGUCAUCUGCUAAACUCCACUAGAGUCAUCUCUACAGGUGUGGUUAAGAGAAAAAAAAAUUGCCAUUAAGGAAUCAGCAAAUAGGAUGUCUGAAGUGAGGAUAUAGCACCUAUCUCUGAGAUUAAAGUCAUCUGAUCAAAAAUGAUGCCUCUGAGACUAUAACAAAGGAAUGAAUAAUGAAAUAUAAGAAUGGGGAUUCUGCACUAACUCUAUGGGGAAGAAAACAAUGGUAAGAGCAAAAGGAUCAACAGCAGCAACUCCUGUUUCCAUCGAUUUGUUUAUAAGAUGCCGUCUACAUUAUUCCAAAAUAUCCCAGCCUUUUUCUCCCCUGUCAAGCUUCCCUGUCUCUAAAAGAGAUCUUGCUCUUCCUGCACAGAAAGAAAUAAUAAUAUAUCACUGAAAUAUUAUUAUUACAUUUAAAGUUACUUACACUCUUUCCCAUUCCUAUAAUUUCCUAGUUGGAAGCCCUCGCACUUGGGAAAUUAUUUAAUGUGAUUUUUUCUCCCUGACAUAUAAAUUGUCACAUCACCUUAAAUGUUGGGACUUCAGGUUGGGAAGUGGGUGGAUAAUAUUCUUGAGGAAGCUGCCUUCCUUUUAUAGAUAAUGUUACCUCCUUGUAAAGGUUGCUUUCUAUGUAUUAUUCUACUUUUUUUCUAAGAAUAUACCAUAUAAUGAAAACUUUACAGGCUUGACAUCCUAUUACUAAGAUUAUAAUUGUUGAGGUCUUCAAUAGAAUUUCAAGUCAAAUAUGUUGUGCUAUAUGCCUACUUACAUUUCACUCUUUGAUUCACCUAGUUAGGAUCUCAGAAUUGAACUUUAAUUGCAGAUUUAUUACUUCUUUACUCUCUUCAUGUAUUAAUUUAAAAUUUACUUUUUCCUACCUUCAUCUUGGUUUGAGAAGGUUAUUUCCCUUUCAUUUGAUUUAUUUGUUUUAAUUUACAUGUGCAUAUUUAUUACCUGUAUAUAAGCAAAAUUUAUAGAAGAGGAUAGUAUGAGUUAAUAAAUAAGUAUAUUAUCAGGAUAUUUUCUUUAUAUUUAAUAUAUGUUGUAAUUAAAAUGCACUGUUUAGCUGAACUGUGCCUCCUGGAAACUGUAGCAUUUAAAGACAGCACUAUGUGAAAUAUAAAAUUAUGUUUUUUUUCUCUGUGUCUAUGAUUUAUUGAAGUAAUGUUCUUCAGGAAAAUUUUUUUAAUUUUCAAAUUUAUAAUUGACAUAAUAAUUGUACAUAUUUAUAGGGUACAAUGUGAUGUUUCAAUGCAUGUCGAUAAUAUAACGAUCAAAUUGGAAUAAUUACCAUAUCUAUCACUUUAAACAUUUGUCAUUUUUAUGUGACAGGUGACAGCAUUUAAAAUAUUCUGUUCUAGCUAUCUUGAAAUAUACAGCAAAUUGUAGUUUGCUGUAAUCAUCCUUCUGAAAUUAAUUUUUUCUGAGUUUAGAUUUUCAGAACACCAAACUGGUAACCAAAUUAUUAAUCAAAUUGACAGAAAAUUUUAUUCUUGUUAAUAAAAAUACCAAUUUAUAUUUACAUUUGUAACUGCUAUGUCUAUUGUGAGCUGUAAUCCCUUUAUAGAGGUAAAUAUGCAAAUAAAAUAAGCAAAUGGUGAAAAAGCAGCCUUUCAGGCUGACUACUUUCUAAAUAGAUCUAAACUUCAAUCCAAAUAAGAAAAUGCAAUAUUGAAAUUUUAAGGAUGCUAAGUCAUUUUGUGGGGGUAAAGGAUUAAUAUUAAAUUUCAGGAGUUAGAUUAGGACAGUGACUAAAAUGAAUAAGAUUAGGAAUUCAAGAUUUUUUCUUAAAUGUAUUGAGCUGUGAUGACCCAUGUCAAUUAAAAUUUUCCAGGUUACGUGACAAACACUAUAACCUUUACAACAUAAAUUGUGGAGAUUUGUAUUUUGAAUAAGGUUCAACUAAGUAGAAAUGAUAACCUCCAUAAUGUUAUUUACUACUCCUGGAAAUUUUUUUUGAUAAAAAAUAAAAAUGUUAUCGUAAUUACAGUAGUGAGUCAUAUGUAAUGCCUCAAUGGCAAUUUUAGUUUAUUGUCCCCCAAAAUAACAUUACUAUUCUACAUAGCUAAGUUUAUUGGUUUCAGCAUGACAUAAAUAGGCCUACGUUUGAAAAAUAAUUUAACCUCUCUUAUUGAGGUUAUCCUUUCUAUUUACUUGAACCUUAUUCAUCUUUCUAGGCAUUAUCAUAUAGUGAAAAAUACUGAAAUAUACAGAUAAAUAUUAAUUAUAAAUAUCACAGCCACCAAUUACUGAGCCAUCACCAUGUGUCAGACAUGUUAAGGAUGUAUCACACGUCAUUUCCAACACUCUUAACAGCACGCAGUGUAAAUUUUUUCAGCUCCAUUGAAAUUUCCUCCAUUGCUUAUAAACAAACUGAGCUUAAAAGAUGCUAAAGUAGCCAAGUGCAUAGAAUGAGUGAUUGACAUGGAUUCAAACCCAGGCUUGAAAACUCAAUCUCUUUCUACCAACAAAACUUCCUUAGAAAAAGAAUAAACCUACACAAAACAAUUGGGGAUAGUCCCUACCUUUCAAUGGCCACAACAUUUUGUUUGAUUUUUAUAGAUUUCAUGUUCUUUAUUUUCCAGCUAGGAACAAUUUGUCUAACUCACAAGGUUAAUGUGGAUACUCCCUCUCAAAAAUGUUUGUUUAUUUUAAUUCCCAGUUCCAUGAAGUAUUUUACGUUUAUUUAUAAUUUGUUCUGAAAUUAAACCUGCAUGUUUAUGGGUGUCACAAUGUGAUCUGAGGCACGUUGGAUGACCCCAAGACCCUUUUAGUGUGUCCAAGAGUGCCUCAGUUUGUUUUCAAGUACUUAUCUGUACAUAGCUGGAUCUUCUUUAUAUACUUCAACCAGAACAACAUACCAUAACCCACUGAGUUCAGAAAAGUGGAAUAUUCAGUGAUCUACUAAGCCAAUCAUUAAAGAAUUUCACAAAAAUACAAAGCAACACAGAUCUCACUAAACCUACUUUUGCUUUGCAAAAUAACCAUUUGUCAUCAAAAUGUUACUUUUGUUAAUAUUUAUGUAUAUGUUAUUACUAUUUUAAAAAUUUAGUGAAUUGCUAGGAAAAUUAGUGAGUAUUUAAAAUUUUUUUCAGUUUUAAUUUUUGUUUUGUUUUGUUUUGUUUUGAUAUGGAGUCUUUAUCUGUUGCCCAGGCUGGAGUGCAGUGGCGCCAUCUCGGCUCACUGCAAGCUCUGCCUCCCGGGUUGACACCAUUCUCCUGCCUCAGCCUCCCGAGUAUCUGGGACUACAGGCGCCCACCACCACGCCUGGC